GAUGAAGAACGUAGCGAAAUGCGAUACUUGGUGUGAAUUGCAGAAUCCCGUGAACCAUCGAGUCUUUGAACGCAAGUUGCGCCCGAAGCCAUCAGGUUGAGGGCACGUCUGCCUGGGCGUCACAUAUCGUUGCCCAAUGCCUAUUGCAGUGCAAUAGGAAUUUCUAGGGCGAAUGAUGGCUUCCCGUGAGCGUUGUUGCUUCGCGGUUGGUUGAAAAUCGAGUCCUUGGUAGGGUGUGCCAUGGUAGAUGGUGGUCGAGUUAGAACGAUACCGAUCAUGUGCAUGCUCCCCAAAAUAUGGCCUCUAUGACCCACACGCGUCUUUUGACGCUCAUGACGAGACCUCAGGUCAGGCGGGGCUACCCGCUGAAUUUAAGCAUAUCAAUAAGCGGAGGA
This 395-nucleotide unclassified non-coding RNA is filed under the name soil metagenome. RNAcentral describes it as "partial contains 5.8S ribosomal RNA, internal transcribed spacer 2, and large subunit ribosomal RNA". The stretch from base 1 to 122 matches the Rfam family "5.8S ribosomal RNA", at positions 35 to 154 of the family's 154-position model. The record is from RNAcentral.